AAGCAGGAUUCAGACUACAAUAUAGCUGCUAAGUGCUGUGUUGUCGUUCCCCCUGCUCAAAAUAAAGUUGUUUCUUAACUAUCUAACAUCACAAUUAAAAGAACUAGAAAAGCAAGAGCAAACACAU
Nomascus leucogenys (northern white-cheeked gibbon) is the source of this 127-nucleotide small nucleolar RNA. Its record names the gene SNORA63. It matches the Rfam family "Small nucleolar RNA SNORA63". From Rfam's summary of the family: E3 belongs to the H/ACA class of snoRNAs and is involved in the processing of eukaryotic pre-rRNA and has regions of complementarity to 18S rRNA. NCBI's taxonomy places the organism in Eukaryota, Metazoa, Chordata, Mammalia, Primates, Hylobatidae. The record is from Ensembl.